UGAUAUCUAUGUGAUAUACUGUAAUCAGAAGUUCCUAUAGGCAAGUUAUCUGCCCUUUGCAUACAGUUAUUCCCUUCCCAUUUCACUAGCCUUCCCCAGUAGUUAUACAAAGUUAUUACUGUCCAAAGAAAAAUAAAGUAAAGAAAAUACAUCAUAUAAUUUGAAAGUUACAACCAAGGAAAGCCUGGUUUAGACUUCUUGUUGGAUUUAUGAAGUAAACCAACUCCAAAGAUCAAUGUUUCAAAUCCUUUCUCUCAUUUGGACGUGUCAGAGUUCCCUAAGAGCCUCACACAGACUCCGGACAGUGUUCACACCCAAAUGCAUUGCAGGGUCAAGACAUAGUGUAGUGUGGAAGGGGCCAGUCGUCAAGUGUCCAAGUUCAGAGGGAACUCAAGGUCCCAAGGCAAGGCUCACAAGAGGGGAGCAGAACCUAGGAACUAAGAGGGAGAGUGCAAGUUCAGAAAUAAAAUUCUGAAAGAAGAAAAAAAAAAAGGAAAAGGGGAAUAACUUAAAAUCAGUACACAUAAGGGUAUAGGGGAAUGCGGAAUAUGCAAGAAUACAAGAAAAAUAGGCUGAUGGGCAUACCCAACAAUGGGAUAUGAUGGUACACCAUCCAUCCUGUUUAGAGGUUAAAACCUCAUUGGUUCAAAACUCAGUUCAUGGACAACAACUCAUGUUGCCAUGCCCUAAGUCACCACUCACAAACACAUAUAGGUAACGAGAUAGGGAGCAAAGAUCCAUAGUAGAAACAAGCAGUAUAACAUAGAACAUACUACAUUAAAUAUUUAACUUUACAUAAACAGUAAAGUAGACAUGGAUAUAAUGACUGCAAGUAAACACAUUGGGGUGAUGCUGGAACUUAAAUUAGAAUUAGGACAUACCAAUUUCAUGAAUACAAAUAGGAAAAAGAAGUGACCUUGUGAAAGUUAGAGUGCAGACAAGAGAGCAUUCUUAUGAGAGAGUAAGAGUUUAGAAGAAAUGUGAAUUGUAGUAGUGGAUGAUUAAAAUCGUGUGUAGUGUGAAAGAAAAGAGUCAUGUAUUACAAUGUGAAAGUCAUGAGAAAAUAAGGUGAGAAAAUAAUUGAAGACUAACUGUAAAUCAAUUACAUAAGACUCCAUUUAAUAAGGAAUUCAACAUCAAAUGGGUAAAACCAUUUAAGGAAAGGAUUUAAAUAAACACUUUGUGCAGAGUAGUAAACUAGGGGCAAAUUCACAAAGGUUAUUUAAGGACAAAAUCUCUGAAACACACGGUUGCACAAUUUAAUGAAAGAAAACCAAUUAACAGUCAGGAAUUCUGAAGCCAGAGAUUUGUAUGAAUGAACCAAGUCAGAAAGAUGGGAAAGAUUUUUUAACUUAGGAAAAUCAACAAACAAAUCAAUUAAAGUCUUAUAAAAGGAAUUCAGAAUCAGUCUGAAAACCCUUUUUGAAGAAAGAUUUAUCACAUACAAAAGCAUACAGACAUGUUAAACAUGAAAGACUUGUCCCGCCCUUGUAAACGUGUUUAGCAAAAGGUUUGCAUUGUAUGAAAACACGGUGUAAACUCAAUUUAGGGAUCAAAGUUAGUCUGACAGAGUUAGGGGUUUCAAAAUGAAACCUUAGUUUAAGCAAACCCUAAAGCAAGGGUGAGAGGCAGGCCAUCACACUAAAAUCAUAUUCAGAAGUUUUAAAACAAAGGACAAGCUCUUUCAACACAAAACUUACGAAGAAUAUGGUAGUAAAGUAACAUGCAAUCACAGCAGAAGGAUUAAAAAAAACAUAAUGGUAAUACUGAUACGAACAGUAGAAAAGCAUGCUUAAGAAAGACCUAAACAGGGCUCAGUAGGAGACGAAUCAAGAAAUUUAAAACUUAGCAGGAAAGUACAGUAGAAAAGUAUAGUAGGAUAAACAUAUAAGAGCAUGAUAAAAGGAAAACACAAGAACAUAGUAAAAGAACGAGAUAUAGAAAACACAUCAGAGGGACACAAGAACACAACAGGGUCAUAAGAGACCACAAUAUAAGAAAACAUAGCAAGAGAAGCAUAUAAGGAACAUGAUACAAGAACACAAUAGAGACAAAUACACAUAAACAACAAAGAAAAAAUCAUAGAAACAUUUGAGCAUUUCAGAAACCCUAGAACGAAAAGAAGCAAUUUUUUGAAAGUAAUUUUUUGAAAACAAAUCUAGGAAAAGCAUUUGAAAACUCAAAUAGAGCAUAGAUACACAACAAAUCUAGAAAAAUCGGAAGAAACCUCAAAGGGUUUUAAAGAACCCUAAAAUGAGAAAGGUUUUGAAGAAGGUCAUCGAUCGGAGUCGGAGAAGCUAGAAUCAGGCUCAGAAGACCAGGAUAUGCCGGAGCAAGGCCGGUGAUGGCCGUGAAAUCUUGAGCCGGCAAAGGUCUAGAUGAAGAUCUUCGAGGUUUGGCCUUAAAUAUUAAAGAAUCAAGCAUAUAGGAGUAACAGGAGGUGAGUAUAAGACUACCAUGGCGGGAGAAACUAUGGUUUCCAGUGGGUUUCGAGGUGGAGGCUAUUAAAGGCGGCUAGGGUUAAGGAGGGUUAGAGAGAAUGUUAGAGAGAAGAGGGGUUUCAAG
This 2565-nucleotide long non-coding RNA is filed under the name Nicotiana benthamiana. RNAcentral describes it as "long non-coding RNA (NBEN_LNC016228)". The record is from RNAcentral. Lineage: Eukaryota; Viridiplantae; Streptophyta; Magnoliopsida; Solanales; Solanaceae.